Molecule: long non-coding RNA, 577 nt
Organism: Ictidomys tridecemlineatus (thirteen-lined ground squirrel)
Lineage: Eukaryota; Metazoa; Chordata; Mammalia; Rodentia; Sciuridae
Source: RefSeq, a predicted model, not a curated record
UCCGAAAGGUUCUGGGUGGGAAAGAGACCCCACGUCAGGCCGUGCAAGUCGGGAGGACACCUGCUCUACCGCAGUGCAGGGCGGAGGGAAUGCCAAAGAGGAGCACCGUGCCCAAAGAGCCCAGUCUCCAAGUUCAAGGAAAGCCCACUGGCCGAACUUCUGAAUGGGAUGCAGAAUCCAGCAGCUUCCCUGGGUGGCUGCCCUCGUCCACGCACACUCCAGCAGCAGCCUCCUGCGUCCACUCUUGACCCUUCACCCAACACCCUCCAACAACAGGGAGAUCCUGCCAAACACCAAGUCCCCUCACCCAGCGCCCUUCAUUAUCUCCUCCUCAAGUUGCCAAGAGAAAGACCCAAAGCCAGGAUCACGCGCCUCCAAGGCUACACACACCAGAGUGUCCCCUUUGCCUGGGUGGCUCUGUCUCUCCUGGCCUCCUUCAAGUCUCAGCUCAAAUGCCAUCUUCUCCAUGUGGCCUCCCCAGAACACCCCACUCAAAAUCUCAGUCCCCCAUUCCACCCUGAUGCCUGACAUUCUUCCUCUGCUGAAUUUUCUCCAAAGAAUUUAUCACCGCCUAACA